AAUUGUUUUUUUUUUCUUUUGUUACACGGGCCGAGAGACAGAGCCCGAGUAGGGCUCGGGAAAGAGUCCAAAAAGGCAUCCCAGCCGUAGCUGGGUGUGUUCACCGGGGAAGAACACCGGAAUUAGUGGACGGCGCCAUGGCAGGCGGUGUGUCCAGGGUCGAGCAAGCCAUGGUUAGUCGAAGAACCAGGUGUUUGUCGACGAAGAGGAGAUCUCGACGUCGAUGGAAGAAAAAAAAUCCAAAUGAAUUCAAUUGAAUUCGAGUGAAGACCCAUGAAAUUCUUCUGGAAUUUCUAGAAAUCGUUGGUGAAAACGAUGGGUGGUGUCCAAUUUUGCACAACUGCAGGUCGUGUGGUGUCGGAAAAUCGACGGCAAGGACCUGGGCUUCAGGCCAUAGGUCGGGACAAGGUGCUUCAAACGCACCGUUUCGGUUCAAGGCUUGCGGCCUGGGUUCUCGGUUUGGGUUGGGCCAUCGCAGGCUGCGGGCCUGGUGGCUUGCGGCCUUGCAAAGGCACGGGUUCGACGAGAACCCUAAUUUCCAAUCGCAAAAAAAAUAUUUUUCUUCAAUUCAAUUAUAUUAUAUGCAUGUAUAAUUUUAAUGAAUCACAUAUUUACGUUGAUGCAUAUGCAAAUAAUA
Molecule: long non-coding RNA, 637 nt
Filed under: Malus domestica (apple)
Lineage: Eukaryota; Viridiplantae; Streptophyta; Magnoliopsida; Rosales; Rosaceae
Description: long non-coding RNA (MDOM_LNC011338)
Source: RNAcentral